This 223-nucleotide ribosomal RNA is filed under the name uncultured bacterium. RNAcentral describes it as "partial 16S ribosomal RNA". It matches the Rfam family "Bacterial small subunit ribosomal RNA", at positions 109 to 334 of the family's 1533-position model. The record is from RNAcentral.
AGUAAUACAUAGGUAAUCUGCCUUUAAGUGGGGGAUAACUAGCCGAAAGGUUGGCUAACACCGCAUAAUAUUGUAAGUUGAGAUAUUUACAAGGAAAGAUUUAUCGCUUUUAGAGGAGCCUAUGGUCGAUUAGCUAGUUGGUAGGGUAAUGGCUUACCAAGGCGACGAUCGAUAGCUGGUCUGAGAGGACGAUCAGCCACACUGGGACUGAGACACGGCCCAG